This 1971-nucleotide ribosomal RNA is filed under the name Chthamalophilus delagei. Its description in RNAcentral is "SSU rRNA". It matches the Rfam family "Eukaryotic small subunit ribosomal RNA". Lineage: Eukaryota; Metazoa; Arthropoda; Thecostraca; Chthamalophilidae. The record is from RNAcentral.
UGAUCCUGCCAGUCGUGAUACGCUUGUCUUAAAGAUUAAGCCAUGCAUGUGCAAGUACAGUCUACAAAUGUAGAGAAACCGCAAACGGCUCAUUAAAUUGGUCAUAAUAUGAUUGCUGAGACGACACUUUUGUGCAUAUGGAUAACUGUGGUAAUUCUAGAGCUAAUACAUGAUACCGAGUUCGCUCUCAUUGCGCUAGUGAUGAAGCGAACGCUCUAAUUGCCUCAAAUGCAUGGUCGUUGUGUUUACUUGUGUAAAUGAACGACUUAAACAAUUGGUGAAUCUCAAUUAUGUGUGCUGUGAAUCGUAUGAUUUUUAUAAUCGACGAUGCUGCAUGUAAAUGUCUACCCUAUCAGCUCUGGACGGUUUGGUAGUGGCGAACCGUGGCGAUAACGGGUAACGGGGAAUUUGGGUUCGAUUCCGGAGAGGGAGCCUGAGAAAUAGCUACCACAUCUAAGGGUGGCAGCAGGCGCGUAACUUACCCACUCUCAGCUUUGGGAGGUAGUGACAAAAUGUACCUUACGAAGGCGGCUUGAGCUGUUUUCAAGACGGAAUGAGUGCAGUGUGAAAACCUGUGCGACUAACUACUGGAGGGCAAGCCUGGUGCCAGCAGCUGCGGUAAUUCCAGCUCCAGUAGCGUAUACUAAAGUUGUUGUGGUUAAAAAGCUUGUAGUUGGAUAUGAGUAUGCGUCGUAUAUUUGUUCUGAUACACGAAUAUUUUGUAUGUCGAACAUUAGUGCGUACGUGUACGUUUUGCCAGAUGUUAAACGUUGACGAAAUGUUUUAUUUACGUUUUGUUGACGACUGGCAGAGUUACUUUGAANAAAAUAGAGUGCUCAAAGCAGGCCGUAAUGGCUUGUGUAUAACGAUUCAUAGAAUUGGAGAAAACGUUCCUGACUCGAUAAUUUGUGCGUUUGGCGAGUGAAAGGAAAAUGGUUAAUAGGGACAGACGGGGGCAUUUGUAUUGUGACGCGAGGGGUAAAAUCCAGUGACCGUUGCAAGACAAACAACUGCGAAAGCAUUUGCCAAGAAUGUUUUCAUUAGUCAAGAACGAAAGUUAGAGGUUCGAAGGCGAUUAGAUACCGCCCUAGUUCUAACCGUAAACGAUGUCGACCAGUAAUUAGCACAACUUGAUAUUGAAUGGGUUGUGUUAGCGACUUCCUUUGGGGAAACCAGAGUUUUUGGACUUCAGGGGGAGUAUGGUUGCAAAACAGAAACUUAAAGGAAUUGACGGAAAGGCACCACCAGGAGUGGAGCUUGUGGCUUAAUUUGACUCAACACGGGUAAUCUUACCAGGCCCGGACACUGUGAGGAUUGACAGACUGAAGAUCUUUCAUGAUUUAGUGGGUUGUGGUGCAUGGCCGUUCUUAGUUGGUGGAGUGAUUUGUCUGGUUGAUUCCGAUAACGAACGAGACUCUAGCCUGCUAAAUUUGUACGUGCAAGUGUGUGCGUUUGUUGCCUGUACACGGAUAAACAAACAUGUGCUCUGUGUGUAUGUUCUGUUGUUCGGUUAGGUGACGGCAUACACAUGCAAGUGCUUCUUAGAGGGAUAGUUGACUCUUUUUUCAAGUCAAAUGAAAGAGAGCAAUAACAGGUCUGUGAUGCCCUUAGAUGUUCUGGGCUGCACGCGUGUUACACUGAUGCAGGCAACGCGAUUAAUGGCACGUUCUUAUACAAUGGGCGUGUGCUUCUGUUUCGAAAGAAUUGGAGAAUCGUUUUAAACUGCAUCGUGAUUGGAAUUGAGAAUUGUAAUUGUUUCUCAUGAACGAGGAAUUCCUAGUAAGCGCAAGUCAUUAACUUGUGCUGAUUAAGUCCCUGCCUUUUGUACACACCGCCCGUCGCUACUACCGAUGAAUAAUUUGGUGAAAAUGUUGAGAGUAGACGAAAAUAAUGCUUUUUCGUUUGCAAAAGCAUUUAAACUCAAUUUGUUUAGAGGAAGUAAAGUCGUACAGGGUUUCCGUAGGUGAACCU